Long non-coding RNA from Leopardus geoffroyi (Geoffroy's cat), 1784 nucleotides. RefSeq lists it as uncharacterized. The transcript has 2 exons. Lineage: Eukaryota; Metazoa; Chordata; Mammalia; Carnivora; Felidae. The record is from RefSeq and is a predicted model, not a curated record.
AAAUCAUGGUAAGAGGGCCAGUACAGACUUAAAUCUUUACAGAAAUUCUGAUACAUACGCUUUUAGUAAUUUGCAGAUUAAGCAUGUAAUAGAGUUGGAAAACAUAGGGAGAUUAUGUGAGAAAAAUUUUUCAGCUGAGUAAAGCCCUGUAAAUAAUUGAAAAGUUCCAAGGGAUUUUCCUGAGAAGUGAUCAUAAGUAUUCUAACCACAGUUGAACAUGCAGAAAGUGCUUAGUGAAUCCUGAUGAGUAUUUCUUUUUUAUUGAAACUUUAUACGUGUCUGUAUAUAUAUGUUUGAAAUUCAGUACUCUGCCAUUUUCAGUCUUAACACUGACCCUGUGAUGCCUUAGCCUUACCAGUCAUCAAAAGUAGUUGUCACUUUUAAUUAAAAGUUGGGGGGAAUUCCAAAGAAAUCCCAGGGGGAGAAGUUGGGUAUUCAAAUUUUAUAUUAAGCAGUCUUUCAUUAAAGCAGAAGAAAAAGGUCGGAAAACUAAAUAAAUGAAGCAGAUUUCUUCUGUGGGAGGAUAUAUACAACUAUAUGAUACCAGAAUUCUUUAAGUCAGACUCAAAAAAUACAUAGGUUAAUUUUAAGCAAAAACAAUCCCAAAAUUUUAGAAGAGAAAAAGCAUGGUUUCGUUUUGCUUUCAGGUCUCUGUGCUUUUACCUAACAAUAGUAGUAAACACCUAGAGGAAGUGGUCACAAUAUAAAACGUUUAGUCCUAGUUAUUUAGCUGUAUCUUGCAAAUACACGUAUUUGUAAGAUUACGUUCUACAUACCAGUGUUUGUGGAAUGGUGAUAUGGGAGCGUUGACCCUUUUGAUUCCCUGUCUGGGGUUGAAAUAAAGGCUUUUAUAGAGUAAAAGGAAAGUUCUUUCAAAAGGUCACUGUUUUAACUGAUUAGUAUUUCUUUAUUUUUUAACCUAUCCGUGUUUUUCAUUUUAAUAAAUAUAAAUGGAGUUUGUGGUUUUUUAGUUUUGAGCAUAAAACAUUUAGGCAAAGAUCACAGAUUUGGUCUCAGCUUUGCUGUAAUCCUUAACCCCACCAAUUGUCUUGCACAUGAGUGCUCUUUGACAUAAACGUGAGUGGAUAGAUGUGGAUGGAUCAACAUAAAUCCGUAUCUUAUGGAAUAUCAGCUCAUCAGACUGUGCCUUACUGCCAUAGCAUCGUCUUCCUACCCAGAAGCCAGCCAGCAUCAUCCUCAGUAAGGAGUGUCUACAGAACUUUGACCAUAUUUGUGUGAAUUUGAUUUAUUCUUAAACAGUGAAAUCAAAAAUGGUGGAAAACUAAUAUUUAAAAAAAGUGUCCUUGGGGGCAUUAAUUCUUGCUAAUAAAGUUAGAGGCUUAUUGGGUAGAAGAUUUAAAUGUAAUCUUUGAUAUAACAUUUCCUUGGGUUUACUAUUAAUCAUAAAUUAUCAGAGGUCCAGAGGUAGCUCUCCAUUAAGGUCUAGUAAUUGCUUACAUGUUAAGAUGAUUCUUGUCUCAAUGUGCUUGGUUUGUUUUAUUAAAAAAUAUUUCCACUUCCCAGUGGAAGUAUAGAAGUUCUUCAAGUAUAGAAGUUCCAACUUUAUACUUUAGGAAAGUUAAGUUCUUGGGGUAAGAUGUAAGUUUUAAUUGAAAAUUAAAUACAUGGAUCCUGGCAGUGCUAGAAUGGUUAAAUACAGCCUUGCUAUUCAUUCUUUUUUCCUUAGAUUCUCCUGGGUGAUUAACAUUGAAUUUCUUUGAACAACUUAAUAGGUUACCUGUUUUUCUUAUUCUAGUUUAUUCAGAUUAAAUGUAUAGGAGUUA